UCUAAAAAGGCAGAUCAAUGUUUGAAUGCUUCUUAAAGACAAUCAUGGACAUAUGAGAAACAGCACAUACUCUAGUUCAGAUACAAAGAGAUCACUAUGACGUCAUCAGUGGCGUCAUCAUGGUGCGUGGCAGUUUGUAUUUUUGAAUGAAGCCAAAACAAACCUGUUCAGAUCUGGGGAGACAAGCUGUCCAUCGGUAAGGGAGCAGGCGCACAAAGGUUCGUCUGGACUGCUUCGUAUAUCAACGUCUCUUCUCGGAGGUCAAGGUUAGGGUUAUGACGUAGACUUCAAGGCUAAACAAACAUCUAAAAAGCCCCGAAGCCACGUGAAUUAUACAGUCUGUCGGCUCUGCUUAAUCCUUUCAGCGGUUUCUUCCCCGUUCCUAACGACAGGUUCUGACGUUGACAUGUCACAUCAAUCUAGAGACUGCUUUGCGGCUUCAUCUUGAACUUGAAUGACCUAGGAGGAAAUUGUAACGUAACAGUCACGGAGGCUUUUCACGGAGGGAAAGGACAACACAUGGAGUUGUUCACACGGCGCAUGCGGGGACGUCGCUGUACCCCACCCUGGUGCAAGGAGCGGUAUGUAGAUGUACAGCGGGGCGCGUCCCGCCUCUAGCCGAGCCUCCCGCGUGAUCCCCUCGGUUCCACCCCGCUGCAGCACAAGGACGUGCACCCUGUCUGCGAUGGCAAGGAUUGAUCGACCAGACGUGCUGAUAUUGAGA
This is a long non-coding RNA of Branchiostoma floridae (Florida lancelet), 724 nucleotides long. RefSeq lists it as uncharacterized. The transcript is spliced from 2 exons. Lineage: Eukaryota; Metazoa; Chordata; Leptocardii; Amphioxiformes; Branchiostomatidae. The record is from RefSeq and is a predicted model, not a curated record.